This 253-nucleotide ribosomal RNA is filed under the name uncultured bacterium. RNAcentral's name for it is "partial 16S ribosomal RNA". It matches the Rfam family "Bacterial small subunit ribosomal RNA", at positions 524 to 776 of the family's 1533-position model. The record is from RNAcentral.
UACGUAGGGUGCGAGCGUUGUCCGGAAUUAUUGGGCGUAAAGGGCUCGUAGGCGGUUUGUCACGUCGGGAGUGAAAACUCGGGGCUUAACCCCGAGCCUGCUUCCGAUACGGGCAGACUAGAGGUAUGCAGGGGAGAACGGAAUUCCUGGUGUAGCGGUGAAAUUCGUAGAUAUUAGGAAGAACACCGGUGGCGAAGGCGGCCCACUGGUCCGGUACUGACGCUGAGGUGCGAAAGCGUGGGGAGCAAACAGG